GUCUACGGCCAUGCCACCCUGAACACGCCCGAUCCCGUCUGAUCUCGGAAGCUAAGCAGGGUCGGGCCUGGUUAGUACUUGGAUGGGAGACCACCCAGGAAGACCAGGUGCUGUAGGCG
Molecule: ribosomal RNA, 119 nt
Filed under: Pteropus alecto (black flying fox)
Lineage: Eukaryota; Metazoa; Chordata; Mammalia; Chiroptera; Pteropodidae
Source: RNAcentral